CGAAGGGUGCAAGCGUUGUUCGGAUUUAUUGGGCGUAAAGCGCGCGCAGGCGGACAGGCAAGUCAGAUGUGAAAUCUCGGGGCUCAACCCCGAAAGUGCACCUGAAACUAUCUGUCUAGAGUAUUGGAGAGGGUAGGGGAAUUUCUCAUGUAGGGGUAAAAUCCGUAGAGAUGAGAAGGAACACCAGAGGCGAAGGCGCCUACCUGGCCAAUUACUGACGCUGAGGCGCGAAAGCGUGGGGAGCAAACAGGAUUAGAGACCCUGGUAGUCCACGCCGUAAACGAUGGGCACUAGAUUUAGGGGGAAUUGACCCCCUCUGAGUCGUAGCUAACGCGUUAAGUGCCCCGCCUGGGGAGUACGGUCGCAAGAUUA
RNAcentral lists this ribosomal RNA (372 nucleotides) under uncultured organism. RNAcentral's name for it is "bacterial SSU rRNA". It matches the Rfam family "Bacterial small subunit ribosomal RNA", at positions 526 to 896 of the family's 1533-position model. The record is from RNAcentral.